Protopterus annectens (West African lungfish) is the source of this 1056-nucleotide long non-coding RNA. RefSeq lists it as uncharacterized. NCBI's taxonomy places the organism in Eukaryota, Metazoa, Chordata, Ceratodontiformes, Protopteridae. The transcript has 2 exons. The record is from RefSeq and is a predicted model, not a curated record.
UCAUGCACUCCUAAAAGCAAGGCACAAAGGGGGACACAGCAGUGUGACAAACACAUUUCCCUUGACGUAGUUAUAAUUAGAGGAAUGGAAUGCAUAUAGUGCCUGAUGAUCGACUAAACAGAUCUUCCACAAACACACUUUUGUGAACCAGUACCUUCUCAGAGACCGGCAGCAUCCUUAUCAUAUGAAGAGGGGAGUCAUUAAUGGACAAUAUAUACGGCUGAAUAAGUUGACAUUGACAAUCAAAUCUUCCUAGAAGAGAUGGCCAUUUUGAAGUUCUUUUUCCAGCAGAGAAGCUAUCAGUAUGAUAGGCUAAAUAAAAUUGAACUUGAAGUUCUGUUGCUCAGAAAUGGCCAUGCUAGACCUAUCUUGCACCACAUCUCUCCGGUUUCUUCUCUGGCUGUUUGUGACACACCUACUUUCCAACAGAACAAUGUGAUUUGUUACCGAGGAGCCUUCCCUCCUUCCUAUUAUUACUUACAUGCCCCAAAUCAGAGAAGUGCUUAGGGGCAAUUGGAAGAUUAUUUUGGGUAAUACUGAGUUGGCUAACAUUUUGCGCGAUCAUCCACUUUUCACUUAAAAUAUCAAGUUAAUUCUUGAACAUCCAACUGUUGAUCCUCCAUCUUCACUUACAACUCCUGGCACUUAUAAAGAUUGGAAGUGCAAGGAAUGCCACUACAUAAGCAACAGCAAUGCAUCUCAUGCAUUCAUUCCUUCUUUAGACCUAGAUGUAUGAGUGAAAAGGAGAUAUGACUGUGACUCUAGGUGUGUGGUCUGUUUGGUAACAUGUGCAUCAUGUCCAAGGUUUUACACUGGCAGGACCAUCAGAAGACUAUCAAAGAGAAUCUAUAAACUAACUCUCUCCUUCACAAAAAAAAUGAUACUAAUGCUUUAGCUAAGCACUCCUUGACAUGUUUAGACCUUAAAAAGUUUUCUUUUUUUUGUAUUAGACUCAGUUAACUAUGACAAUUUCUCUGGGAACUUUAAAGUCCUUUUAGAAUGCCUUGAAUAAUUUUGGCAGAUUUAAUGGAGAGACAAUAAAACACCUGGAUUCAA